UACGUAGGUGGCAAGCGUUGUCCGGAUUUACUGGGCGUAAAGAGCGCGCAGGCGGUCGAAUAAGUCGAAUGUGAAAGCCCCCGGCUUAACUGGGGAGGGUCAUUCGAUACUGCUCGACUUGAAGGCAGGAGAGGGUAGUGGAAUUCCCGGUGUAGUGGUGAAAUGCGCAGAUAUCGGGAGGAACACCAAUGGCGAAGGCAGCUCGCUGGGACGUGACUGACGCUGAGACGCGAAAGCGUGGGGAGCAAACAGG
RNAcentral lists this ribosomal RNA (253 nucleotides) under uncultured bacterium. RNAcentral's name for it is "partial 16S ribosomal RNA". It matches the Rfam family "Bacterial small subunit ribosomal RNA", at positions 524 to 776 of the family's 1533-position model. The record is from RNAcentral.